UGGGGAAUCUUGGACAAUGGGCGCAAGCCUGAUCCAGCCAUGCCGCGUGGGUGAAGAAGGCCUUCGGGUUGUAAAGCUCUUUUACCAGGGACGAUAAUGACGGUACCUGGAGAAUAAGCCCCGGCAAACUUCGUGCCAGCAGCCGCGGUAAUACGAAGGGGGCUAGCGUUGUUCGGAAUUACUGGGCGUAAAGCGCACGUAGGCGGAUUGUUAAGUCAGAGGUGAAAUCCCGGAGCUCAACUUCGGAACUGCCUUUGAUACUGGCAAUCUAGAGUCCGGAAGAGGUUAGUGGAAUUCCUAGUGUAGAGGUGAAAUUCGUAGAUAUUAGGAAGAACACCGGUGGCGAAGGCGGCCCACUGGCUCGGUACUGACACUGAGGUGCGAAAGCGUGGGGAGCAAACAGGAUUAGAUACCCCAGUAGUCCCUG
RNAcentral lists this ribosomal RNA (427 nucleotides) under uncultured bacterium. RNAcentral describes it as "bacterial SSU rRNA". It matches the Rfam family "Bacterial small subunit ribosomal RNA", at positions 355 to 799 of the family's 1533-position model. The record is from RNAcentral.